GAUGAACGCUGGCGGCGUGCCUAAUACAUGCAAGUCGAGCGAACGGACGAGAAGCUUGCGUCUCUGAUGUUAGCGGCGGACGGGAGAGUAACACGUGGAUAACCUACCUAUAAGACUGGGAUAACUUCGGGAAACCGGAGCUAAUACCGGAUGAUAUCUUGAACCGCAUGGUUCAAAAGUGAAAGACGGUCUUGCUGUCACUUCUAGCUGGAUCCGCGCUGCAUUAGCUAGUUGGUAAGGUAACGGCCUACCACGGCAACUAUGCAUAGCCGACCUGAGGGAGUGAUCGGCCACCCUGGAGCUGAGACACGGUCCAGACUCCUGCGGGAGGCAGCAGUAGGGAAUCGUCCGCAAUAGGCGAGAGCCUGACGGAGCAGCGCCGCGUGAGUGAUGAAGGUCUUCGGAUCGUAAAACUCUGUUAUUAGGGAAAAACAUAUGUGUAAGUAACUGUGCACAUCUUGACGGUACCUGAUCAGAAAGCAACGGCUAACUACGUG
This 497-nucleotide ribosomal RNA is filed under the name uncultured bacterium. RNAcentral describes it as "partial 16S ribosomal RNA". It matches the Rfam family "Bacterial small subunit ribosomal RNA", at positions 28 to 507 of the family's 1533-position model. The record is from RNAcentral.